Molecule: long non-coding RNA, 1420 nt
Organism: Aethina tumida (small hive beetle)
Lineage: Eukaryota; Metazoa; Arthropoda; Insecta; Coleoptera; Nitidulidae
Exons: 7
Source: RefSeq, a predicted model, not a curated record
UCACAAUAAGUUAGUAUAUAAAUUAUUAUAUAAAAUUAUUUUAAUAAAUUGGAUAACUAUCGAUAUUUCGUUUGCAGCAUUUAACCAUGAAACUAAAGAGCUUCCCUCAAAGUUGCAAGUUCCUUAGGACAAAUGGAAAAUUAAACUGGGAUGUCAUUUUAUGAGGAAAGGAUAGAAAAUGAACCAGAAAUCAUUUAACCAUGAAACUAAAGAGCUUUCUACAAAGUUGUAAGUUCCUUAGGACAAAUGAAAACUGGGAUGUCAUUUUAUGAGGAAAGGAAAUGAAAUGAAUCAGAAAUGUAAAGAUAAAAGCAACGGCGCAAGAUGAGAAGUUACACUGGCAUGAAAUUUUAGAAAGAAAGGAACUGAAAUGAAUCAGAAACGUAGAUAUAAAAGCAUUUAACCACAAAACUAAAAAGCUUCCCAUCAAGUUGAAAGUUCUUUAGGACAAGUGAAAUAAUGCAAAAUUAAACGGGCAUGUCAUUUUAUGAUGAAAGGAUAUAAAAUGAACCAUAAAUCAUUUAACCAAGAAACUAAAAAGCUUCCGACCAGUUGUACAAAGUUGUAAGUUCCUUAGGACAAAUGAAAAAUUAAACUGGGCUGUUAUUUUAUGAGGAAAGGAAAUGAAAUUAACCAGAAAUGUAAAUACUAAAGCAUUGGACUAAGAAAUUAAGAAGCUUUCCUCCAAGUUGUAAGUUUAGUAGUAUUGAAAAUACUACUACUAGAGCAACAGUUUUGGUAAAAGUUAAUACAAGAAAUUGUAUUAAGUAUACAGGUAUUUGGAUCAUUUAUUCGGAAAGCACUCAUCGAGUCUUAUUUUCUUCAGGCACUCGAACCAAUUGAUUGUAUCAAUCUACUAGCACACCAAAAUAAUUGAGAGAUCUCGGAUUCGAACUCUUAGAACAUUAAUAAAGUCUAUUCUCAUUUGUAUAUUAACAUAAGCACGAGCUGCUGCGCCAGUUGUUGACUUUCAUAAGUAAUUUUUUAUGUAUUUAGAAUGUAAUUUGUAAUAGUGUAAUUUAGUCCUUCGACAGUAUAUAUCAACUUGAGUACAUGUUCAAUUGUCUCAACUAAGGUUUAUAACCUGCUGCUCUUUGAACAUUGGAGUUGAUGAAUUGACAAUUAUAACAAGGAUCUAAAGGCUGAAUUUAAUUGUUAAAGGUUAUCCGUUACAGUUAUGGUUGAUUGUUCUCUUAUGUGUCAGUUGGAUAUAAGAUAUGUUCUAUUCACAAUAACAAGGAUUCAGGAGGUCCUUUUUAAUGCCAUUUUGAUUUGACAUGCGACACUCAUUAUUUCUUUGUGUGCAGUAAUUUUACCUCUUUUAUUCUAUUUACUAUGUUUAUUAAUGAUUUGGAAAUACCUCUUUUCAAUUUCGGUUUGGAAACGUUAGUACUGGGGUGUUUAAUCGAUCGUCUCUGGA